GCUGCGGCAGCGACACUAUGUGUUGUUGGGUAGGGGAGCGUUCUGUAAGCCUGUGAAGGUGGCCUGUGAGGGUUGCUGGAGGUAUCAGAAGUGCGAAUGCUGACAUAAGUAACGAUAAAGCGGGUGAAAAGCCCGCUCGCCGGAAGACCAAGGGUUCCUGUCCAACGUUAAUCGGGGCAGGGUGAGUCGACCCCUAAGGCGAGGCCGAAAGGCGUAGUCGAUGGGAAACAGGUUAAUAUUCCUGUACUUGGUGUUACUGCGAAGGGGGGACGGAGAAGGCUAUGUUGGCCGGGCGACGGUUGUCCCGGUUUAAGCGUGUAGGCUGGUUUUCCAGGCAAAUCCGGAAAACCAAGGCUGAGGCGUGAUGA
This 368-nucleotide ribosomal RNA is filed under the name Escherichia coli. RNAcentral's name for it is "partial 23S ribosomal RNA". It matches the Rfam family "Bacterial large subunit ribosomal RNA", at positions 1199 to 1569 of the family's 2925-position model. Lineage: Bacteria; Pseudomonadati; Pseudomonadota; Gammaproteobacteria; Enterobacterales; Enterobacteriaceae. The record is from RNAcentral.